UAGUAAUGGGAUGCUAAUGAAUUAUUGG
RNAcentral lists this non-coding RNA (28 nucleotides) under Bombyx mori (domestic silkworm). Lineage: Eukaryota; Metazoa; Arthropoda; Insecta; Lepidoptera; Bombycidae. The record is from RNAcentral.